GUGACGUUAGCUCAGUCGGCCAGAGUCCCGGAAUGUGAAUCCGGAGGUCGUGGGUUCGAACCCCACACGUCACCCCA
RNAcentral lists this transfer RNA (77 nucleotides) under Povalibacter uvarum. RNAcentral describes it as "tRNA-His". It matches the Rfam family "tRNA". From Rfam's summary of the family: Transfer RNA (tRNA) molecules are approximately 80 nucleotides in length. Their secondary structure includes four short double-helical elements and three loops (D, anti-codon, and T loops). The record is from RNAcentral. Lineage: Bacteria; Pseudomonadati; Pseudomonadota; Gammaproteobacteria; Steroidobacterales; Steroidobacteraceae.